CGAACUCUGGUAUUGAUUGGUGCUUGCAUCAUGAUUUACAUUUGAGUGAGUGGCGAACUGGUGAGUAACACGUGGGAAACCUGCCCAGAAGCGGGGGAUAACACCUGGAAACAGAUGCUAAUACCGCAUAACAACUUGGACCGCAUGGUCCGAGUUUGAAAGAUGGCUUCGGCUAUCACUUUUGGAUGGUCCCGCGGCGUAUUAGCUAGAUGGUGRGGUAACGGCUCACCAUGGCAAUGAUACGUAGCCGACCUGAGAGGGUAAUCGGCCACAUUGGGACUGAGACACGGCCCAAACUCCUACGGGAGGCAGCAGUAGGGAAUCUUCCACAAUGGACGAAAGUCUGAUGGAGCAACGCCGCGUGAGUGAAGAAGGGUUUCGGCUCGUAAAACUCUGUUGUUAAAGAAGAACAUAUCUGAGAGUAACUGUUCAGGUAUUGACGGUAUUUAACCAGAAAGCCACGGCUAACUACGUGCCAGCAGCCGCGGUAAUACGUAGGUGGCAAGCGUUGUCCGGAUUUAUUGGGCGUAAAGCGAGCGCAGGCGGUUUUUUAAGUCUGAUGUGAAAGCCUUCGGCUCAACCGAAGAAGUGCAUCGGAAACUGGGAAACUUGAGUGCAGAAGAGGACAGUGGAACUCCAUGUGUAGCGGUGAAAUGCGUAGAUAUAUGGAAGAACACCAGUGGCGAAGGCGGCUGUCUGGUCUGUAACUGACGCUGAGGCUCGAAAGUAUGGGUAGCAAACAGGAUUAGAUACCCUGGUAGUCCAUACCGUAAACGAUGAAUGCUAAGUGUUGGAGGGUUUCCGCCCUUCAGUGCUGCAGCUAACGCAUUAAGCAUUCCGCCUGGGGAGUACGGCCGCAAGGCUGAAACUCAAAGGAAUUGACGGGGGCCCGCACAAGCGGUGGAGCAUGUGGUUUAAUUCGAAGCUACGCGAAGAACCUUACCAGGUCUUGACAUACUAUGCAAAUCUAAGAGAUUAGACGUUCCCUUCGGGGACAUGGAUACAGGUGGUGCAUGGUUGUCGUCAGCUCGUGUCGUGAGAUGUUGGGUUAAGUCCCGCAACGAGCGCAACCCUUAUUAUCAGUUGCCAGCAUUAAGUUGGGCACUCUGGUGAGACUGCCGGUGACAAACCGGAGGAAGGUGGGGAUGACGUCAAAUCAUCAUGCCCCUUAUGACCUGGGCUACACACGUGCUACAAUGGAUGGUACAACGAGUUGCGAACUCGCGAGAGUAAGCUAAUCUCUUAAAGCCAUUCUCAGUUCGGAUUGUAGGCUGCAACUCGCCUACAUGAAGUCGGAAUCGCUAGUAAUCGCGGAUCAGCAUGCCGCGGUGAAUACGUUCCCGGGCCUUGUACACACCGCCCGUCACACC
This 1370-nucleotide ribosomal RNA is filed under the name Lactiplantibacillus pentosus. RNAcentral's name for it is "bacterial SSU rRNA". Lineage: Bacteria; Bacillati; Bacillota; Bacilli; Lactobacillales; Lactobacillaceae. The record is from RNAcentral.